RNAcentral lists this microRNA precursor (102 nucleotides) under Glycine max (soybean). Its description in RNAcentral is "miR4401b stem-loop (gma-MIR4401b)". The record is from miRBase by way of RNAcentral. Lineage: Eukaryota; Viridiplantae; Streptophyta; Magnoliopsida; Fabales; Fabaceae.
UGAGCAACUUUCAAAGACGUUGCUGAGGUAAGCACCGUCUUAGUAAGCUGCUGACAUUCAAAGAUGGUGUUUUCCUCAGCACCGUCUUUGAAAUUUGCUCAC